CCUACGGGAGGCAGCAGUGGGGAAUUUUGGACAAUGGGCGCAAGCCUGAUCCAGCAAUGCCGCGUGCAGGAUGAAGGCCUUCGGGUUGUAAACUGCUUUUGUACGGAACGAAACGGCUCCUUUUAAUACCCGGGGCUAAUGACGGUACCGUAAGAAUAAGCACCGGCUA
Molecule: ribosomal RNA, 169 nt
Filed under: uncultured bacterium
Lineage: Bacteria
Description: partial 16S ribosomal RNA
Rfam family: Bacterial small subunit ribosomal RNA
Source: RNAcentral